AUUCGCCCUUAGAGUUUGAUCCUGGCUCAGGAUGAACGCUGGCGGCGUGCCUAACACAUGCAAGUCGAACGGGUGUACGGGAUGGAAGGCUCCGGCCGGAAGCCCCGUGCAUGAGUGGCGGACGGGUGAGUAACGCGUGGGCAACCUGCCCUGUACAGGGGGACAACACUUAGAAAUAGGUGCUAAUACCGCAUAACGGGGGGAGCCGCAUGGCACCCCCCUGAAAACUCCGGUGGUACAGGAUGGGCCCGCGUCUGAUUAGCUGGUUGGCAGGGUAACGGCCUACCAAGGCGACGAUCAGUAGCCGGCCUGAGAGGGCGGACGGCCACACUGGGACUGAGACACGGCCCAGACUCCUACGGGAGGCAGCAGUGGGGGAUAUUGCACAAUGGGGGGAACCCUGAUGCAGCGACGCCGCGUGGGUGAAGGAGCGUUUCGGCGCGUAAAGCCCUAUCGGCAGGGAAGAAGGAGGACGGUACCUGACUAAGAAGCCCCGGCUAACUACGUGCCAGCAGCCGCGGUAAUACGUAGGGGGCAAGCGUUAUCCGGAUUUACUGGGUGUAGAGGGCGUGUAGGCGGGGAGGCAAGUCAGAUGUGAAAACCACGGGCUCAACCUGUGGCCUGCAUUUGAAACUGUUUUUCUUGAGUGCUGGAGAGGCAAUCGGAAUUCCGUGUGUAGCGGUGAAAUGCGUAGAUAUACGGAGGAACACCAGUGGCGAAGGCGGAUUGCUGGACAGUAACUGACGC
Molecule: ribosomal RNA, 747 nt
Filed under: uncultured bacterium
Lineage: Bacteria
Description: bacterial SSU rRNA
Rfam family: Bacterial small subunit ribosomal RNA
Source: RNAcentral